AAACCAAAGAAGUUAUUACAACAAAACUGCUCGCCGGAGUACUACUAGCCAAAGCUUAAAACUCAAAGGACUUGGCGGUGCCUUAUACCCCCCUAGAGGAGCCUGUUCUAUAAUCGAUAAACCCCGAUAAACCUCACCAGCUCUUGCCAAUCCAGUCUAUAUACCGCCAUCUUCAGCAAACCCUAAAAAGGAGCCACAGUAAGCACGAGUAUACAACAUAAAAACGUUAGGUCAAGGUGUAACCUAUGAGCUGGAAAGAAAUGGGCUACAUUCCCUAUUAAAGGACACAAA
This 291-nucleotide ribosomal RNA is filed under the name Emballonura raffrayana (Raffray's sheath-tailed bat). RNAcentral describes it as "partial 12S ribosomal RNA". It matches the Rfam family "Bacterial small subunit ribosomal RNA", at positions 801 to 1253 of the family's 1533-position model. The record is from RNAcentral. Lineage: Eukaryota; Metazoa; Chordata; Mammalia; Chiroptera; Emballonuridae.